GGUAUUUCUGAGCUUUUAAAAUUUCUUUUUUUUAAACUUUUACUUGGAAUACUUUAUGCAUUGCAGGGAUCCAGUGGAGAAAUUUUUGGUGGCCUAUGCAGUUGAAGGGAAACACUGGAGAAAUCGUUGUCUAUACUGCCAUUUGGAAUGCUCCAUGAGUCUUCAGGACUCCACUGGAGAAAUUUAUGUAUUGAAGGAAACUAUUAGCAGGAUUUUCACCCAGAACACAAAAAUUAUUUUUUUACAUGACGCCCAACUCAGCCCAGCGCACUCCAUCUUUGCUUCUGCUGCUGUUCCUGUCUUCCUAACCCUUGAAGUCCUAGUACAAAUUCUAUGAAACAUCUCCAGUUCCUUCAAGAAACCUUCUUAUUGACUGGUUUUUAGUUUUCUUCUUGAAAAAGAAGAGGCAGCUAACAAACUGAGAGCCACAGGUUUUUUUCAUUGUCGGCUAGCAAGCAUUUGUUAAGAGCUCAAUGUCAGGCAUUGUGCAAAGAGCUGCAGAUACAAAGAAAGAAAAAACAUCUAUCCAAAUCUAUUCUACUGCUGCUUUUACGCAGGUGGACUCUUCGAACCAGGCACCAGCCACAAGACAGUUGUAAAACAGAGCCAGACUCAUCCGAGUCAGAGGGGACAUCUACCUGCUUGCCUUGUUCUUUCUCACCUCAGAAUCCCAUUUCCCCCCACCCCUGCCCCGCAAUAGGGAUCUUCAG
RNAcentral lists this long non-coding RNA (710 nucleotides) under Vombatus ursinus (common wombat). RNAcentral describes it as "lncRNA (ENSVURG00010002545.1)". Lineage: Eukaryota; Metazoa; Chordata; Mammalia; Diprotodontia; Vombatidae. The record is from RNAcentral.